AACAUAGGAGACAAACGUUAUCCGGAGUUACUGGGCGUAAAGGGCGUGUAGGCGGUUUGUUAAGUCUGGCGUGAAAGCUCUCGGCUAAACCGGGAGAGGUCGUUGGAUACUGGCGAACUAGAGGAUGGUAGAGGCGUGUGGAAUUCCGGGUGUAGUGGUGAAAUGCGUAGAGAUCCGGAGGAACACCAGUGGCGAAGGCGACACGCUGGGCCAUACCUGACGCUAAAGCGCGACAGCAUGGGGAGCAAACGGG
RNAcentral lists this ribosomal RNA (253 nucleotides) under uncultured bacterium. RNAcentral describes it as "partial 16S ribosomal RNA". It matches the Rfam family "Bacterial small subunit ribosomal RNA", at positions 524 to 776 of the family's 1533-position model. The record is from RNAcentral.